Molecule: long non-coding RNA, 1138 nt
Organism: Gasterosteus aculeatus aculeatus (three-spined stickleback)
Lineage: Eukaryota; Metazoa; Chordata; Actinopteri; Perciformes; Gasterosteidae
Source: Ensembl
AAUACCCUCAAGGAAUAUUAGGUUAAAAAAUGUUUUGAAAAAAAAAUGUCAAAAUAUUUUAUCAUAGAAAAGGAAGUCUAAAAAAAUGAACUACGUCUUGAAGUCUUUAAGAUUUUUAACAAAAGUCAGGUAAUUACCCAGGUGAAAUGUAGGGUCCUUUUCUCCUAGACUUCAAUUUUGUUAGCAUUGUUAGAUGCUAGCGACGGCUUAGCAUCCUGCAUGUUAAGGGUCGUGUAAAGGGAAACAAAUGACAAAUGCGAACAAAAACAAAUGCUCUGAAUUAUGUCCAGAGCAGCUUUAAUUACGAUGUGAAUUCUGUGUAAAUUAAAAUGUAUUCAGAAAACAUAAGUGAACUGGGGGAAUAGAGCCGACCGAUUGACAGAUCCCGAAGCAAAGUGUGGCUGUACAGCGGCUGUAAGGUUACGGUGAAGAAGUACUCGGAGAAACAGAGCAUGGGUGAAGGUGGCGCCUGCUCACUGCCAACCCCGCUGUGUUGAGUUAGCAAAGGGCCGAGGACUCACACACAUGCAUACAAAUGAUCAGGCCCCAGAAAAGCGAGUGAGAGGGAGAGCCGAGGAGGAGAGAGUACAUUCAUCAGGGAGGACGGCAUCGCGUUCCAAGCGGCUUUGCAAGAGAUCAGGCUGCGGCGUGUUGUGAUUCCCCCUGGGUCACCACUAUAUCCUGCUUCAUUCACAACGCCGCCUCGCCUCAGCUCAUCAAUGCUGCGCCUCACAAUCGAUCAUUUCCAUAAAACGCCGCGCAGGCUUAGGCUUAUUCCUUCUCUUCACCCCCGGCCUCCAAAAAAUGAAAAAAACAAACAAACAUAAGAAACACUGUCAAACUUGGUCUUGACCAAAUUUCAACUACCAGAUUAACUACGUACAAUAUGUAUGAGGUUGUGACCUCACAAGAUUUCUAUUCUUUAUCUUUUUUUCUUUUCUUGUAUUGGCAAGUAUUGACUGACUGGGGAAGUAUGUUGUUGUUGUAAUAGCAUCAGUGUCUGUGGCUCAUCCAUCCUGCCCAUCACGUCUCUAAUGCUCCCGCAGUACCGAUAUAAAUCAGGAGCAAAAGUAAGGUCUAACAUGGAAAAAGAUGAAGAGUUGGAGUUGUUGUUCUUGUUGGCAUGGCGAUAAUUGUU